RNAcentral lists this ribosomal RNA (203 nucleotides) under uncultured bacterium. Its description in RNAcentral is "partial 16S ribosomal RNA". It matches the Rfam family "Bacterial small subunit ribosomal RNA", at positions 524 to 724 of the family's 1533-position model. The record is from RNAcentral.
GACAGAGGGUGCAAACGUUGCUCGGAAUCACUGGGCGUAAAGGGCGUGUAGGCGGGACAGUAAGUCGGGCGUGAAAUCCCCUGGGCUCAACCCAGGAACUGCACUCGAAACUACUAUUCUUGAGUGUCGGAGAGGAAAGCGGAAUUCCUGGUGUAGAGGUGAAAUUCGUAGAUAUCAGGAGGAACACCAGUGGCGGAAGGCGG